RNAcentral lists this ribosomal RNA (471 nucleotides) under Acinetobacter baumannii OIFC143. Its description in RNAcentral is "bacterial SSU rRNA". It matches the Rfam family "Bacterial small subunit ribosomal RNA", at positions 341 to 801 of the family's 1533-position model. The record is from RNAcentral. Lineage: Bacteria; Pseudomonadati; Pseudomonadota; Gammaproteobacteria; Moraxellales; Moraxellaceae.
ACGGGAGGCAGCAGUGGGGAAUAUUGGACAAUGGGGGGAACCCUGAUCCAGCCAUGCCGCGUGUGUGAAGAAGGCCUUAUGGUUGUAAAGCACUUUAAGCGAGGAGGAGGCUACUUUAGUUAAUACCUAGAGAUAGUGGACGUUACUCGCAGAAUAAGCACCGGCUAACUCUGUGCCAGCAGCCGCGGUAAUACAGAGGGUGCGAGCGUUAAUCGGAUUUACUGGGCGUAAAGCGUGCGUAGGCGGCUUAUUAAGUCGGAUGUGAAAUCCCCCGAGCUUAACUUGGGAAUUGCAUUCGAUACUGGUGAGCUAGAGUAUGGGAGAGGAUGGUAGAAUUCCAGGUGUAGCGGUGAAAUGCGUAGAGAUCUGGGAGGAAUACCGAUGGCGAAGGCAGCCAUCUGGCCUAAUACUGACGCUGAGGUACGAAAGCAUGGGGAGCAAACAGGAUUAGAUACCCUGGUAGUCCAUGCC